CUCCUGGCUUGGGAAUGUUCGUGACGGUUACAACUUACGAUGAGGAGGUAUUAUUAUCAAAGUUAUAUGGCCCCCAAGGAACAUUCUAUUUCACUUCACACUCACCUGGCGAACACAUCAUUUGCUUAGAAUCUAAUUCGACAAGGCUUGUGUCAUUUGGAGGGAGUAAGCUGCGGAUCCACUUAGACAUUCGCGUUGGAGAACAUGACCUUGAUGCAGCCAUUGCUCAAGCAAAGGACAAAGUUAAUGAAGUUAGCUUCAAGCUUGAACAUCUAAUCGAGCAAAUUGAGCAAAUAGUCAAAGAACAAAACUAUCAAAGGGACCGAGAAGAAAAAUUUCGAGUGACCAGUGAAGACACAAACAGCAAUGUCUUAUGGUGGGCUUCUGCGCAAACGCUGGUCUUUAUCUCCGUUGGAAUUUUCCAAAUGAAGUACCUUAGAGACUUCUUUAUAGCUAAGAAACUUGUUUAAAAUGUUAAUAAAGGCAAAUAACUGCCUCCUAAGUUGCAUAAUGUCUGCGUUAAUAAAUCAAAAUA
Molecule: long non-coding RNA, 535 nt
Organism: Phacochoerus africanus (Common warthog)
Lineage: Eukaryota; Metazoa; Chordata; Mammalia; Artiodactyla; Suidae
Exons: 4
Source: RefSeq, a predicted model, not a curated record